AUUGAACGCUGGCGGCAUGCUUUACACAUGCAAGUCGAACGGCAGCGCGGGCUUCGGCCUGGCGGCGAGUGGCGAACGGGUGAGUAAUGCAUCGGAACGUGCCCAGUAGUGGGGGAUAGCCCGGCGAAAGCCGGAUUAAUACCGCAUACGACCUGAGGGUGAAAGCGGGGGACCGAAAGGCCUCGCGCUAUUGGAGCGGCCGAUGUCGGCUUAGCUAGUUGGUGGGGUAAAGGCUUACCAAGGCGACGAUCCGUAGCUGGUCUGAGAGGACGACCAGCCACACUGGGACUGAGACACGGCCCAGACUCCUACGGGAGGCAGCAGUGGGGAAUUUUGGACAAUGGGGGCAACCCUGAUCCAGCCAUGCCGCGUGCGGGAAGAAGGCCUUCGGGUUGUAAACCGCUUUUGUUCGGGAAGAAAUCCUCUGGGCUAAUACCCCGGGGGGAUGACGGUACCGGAAGAAUAAGCACCGGCUAACUACGUG
RNAcentral lists this ribosomal RNA (484 nucleotides) under uncultured bacterium. RNAcentral describes it as "partial 16S ribosomal RNA". It matches the Rfam family "Bacterial small subunit ribosomal RNA", at positions 28 to 507 of the family's 1533-position model. The record is from RNAcentral.